UACGAAGGGGGCUAGCGUUGUUCGGAAUUACUGGGCGGAAAGCGCACGUAGGCGGCGCAGCAAGUUGGGGGUGAAAUCCCGAGGCUCAACCUCGGAAUUGCCUUCAAAACUGCUGUGCUCGAGUUCGGAAGAGGUGAGUGGAAUUCCCAGUGUAGAGGUGAAAUUCGUAGAGAUUGGGAAGAACACCAGUGGCGAAGGCGGCUCACUGGUCCGCAACUGACGCUGAGGUGCGAAAGCGUGGGGAGCAAACAGG
Molecule: ribosomal RNA, 253 nt
Filed under: uncultured bacterium
Lineage: Bacteria
Description: partial 16S ribosomal RNA
Rfam family: Bacterial small subunit ribosomal RNA
Source: RNAcentral